This is an RNA transcript of Camelina sativa (false flax), 1084 nucleotides long. RefSeq lists it as uncharacterized. The record is from RefSeq and is a predicted model, not a curated record. Lineage: Eukaryota; Viridiplantae; Streptophyta; Magnoliopsida; Brassicales; Brassicaceae.
AAAGUUAAGACCGACUAAGGGGAAAAAAAAAAAAAGAGGAGAACGGCUCAACCAUUGUCUUAAAUCCUUCAGAUCUGUUAAUUUGGCUUUCAGAAUUAACGGAACUGUUCUCGAUUUGUUGUUAAUCCAGAUUCAGAUAUUGUGUUUUUUUUUUAUUGCUUAGAGAUCUUAUUUUCAAAAUCUGUGUGUUCAUGCGAAUCAGGUUAUUUUAAUUUUUUUGUUUGAAAAUUUCGAAAAGAUGAAUCACUUUGCGGUACAACCAAACACGUUCGCAGCUGGUGGAGAUUUGAGAAGCUCUGUUUCAGUUGUUGAAAGAGAUCAACCACCGUCGUUUGCCCAAAACCAUGUCGUAUUGGGCUCUGUAACUACCAUAAUCAUCAUCCUUCUCGAUCUCUCCGCUGCUACUUCAGGAUUGGGCGGAUCUUUUAAGACCACACAACCAAACCACUCGCCACAAGGUCCCAGUGGCUUAAAGAACUCAAGGCUCAACUCGGCUCUCCUCAGUGUAACCAAAGUCACCGAAGGACUGAGGACCACAAGAAGACAGGUCUUGAGUAAGAAUGGGUCUACUCAAGCUGGAGGACAUCGUGACAUUGAGUUCAAGAGAAUCUGCUAAUGAGCUGAAACAGAGUCUGGAGCUGGGAUGUAAUUAUCGUUUAGAGCUUGUCAUUGGCUAUCUCGUGGAACUCACUUUUCUGUGAUUACAUUAAGUUGCAGUUCUUCAAGAAACUACAAGAAAAGAACAAGAAAGAGGAUGUUGUAAAAGAGCAGUUGUCUUGCGACUUCAAGGCAAAUCACAACACUCACUUAGCAUCUGAAGAACACAAGGAGAACACACAAGUUUGUUUUCAGAAGCUACAAAAGGUCUUGAAGAACUAAGGCAUUCACCUCAAGCAAAGAUGAUGAAGUGAUGUUGAGCAAGAACUUAAAAGAGAGAGCUGAAGAGAUUAAAGAAGAGUAGUUGAUGUUUUUGUAUACAUUGAAAAAUAAAAAUUUUAUUUAAAUUAUAAUAAGUUUUGUUUAUAUUUUUUGUCACUUUUUAAUAACAAUGAGUUUCAACAUUAAAUUAGACAUAUUUUCCCAA